Molecule: ribosomal RNA, 253 nt
Filed under: uncultured bacterium
Lineage: Bacteria
Description: partial 16S ribosomal RNA
Rfam family: Bacterial small subunit ribosomal RNA
Source: RNAcentral
UACAGAGGUCUCAAGCGUUGUUCGGAUUCAUUGGGCGUAAAGGGUGCGUAGGCGGCGCGGUAAGUCGGGUGUGAAAUCUCGGGGCUUAACUCCGAAACUGCAUUCGAUACUGCCGUGCUUGAGGACUGGAGAGGAGACUGGAAUUUACGGUGUAGCGGUGAAAUGCGUAGAUAUCGAGAGGAACACCGGUGGCGAAGGCGGCCUUCUGGACAGUGACUGACGCUGAGACGCGAAAGCGUGGGGAGCAAACAGG